RNAcentral lists this non-coding RNA (29 nucleotides) under Mus musculus (house mouse). Lineage: Eukaryota; Metazoa; Chordata; Mammalia; Rodentia; Muridae. The record is from RNAcentral.
UGUCUACAGCAGAUAAUUCUCCUGAUUGU